UAACAAAUGUCUCACUUAGCCACAGAAAUUUUGGGCUUAAUUGUGUUGUAGGUCGAGGACUACCUGUAUUGGAAAAAGUGCAGGGGAGGGAGUCAGGAAGUGCUAGUUGGGGAAUCACUGAAAGGAAACACAAGGUUGAUCCGGGGAUUGCAGUGGCUGGACAAGGCCUGUAACAAGAACGGCAAUGCCUCCAAAGCGAAGGAAGGAAAAACCGGGGGAAUUGGGGGCGGGGUGCGUGGAGAAUCACGACCACGGGCCAGUGAAGGAAGUGAUAAAGCCAGGGCACCGAGCCCUUCUCUUACAACACGAAAUCCUUUCUUCACCGGGUGGAAAUGACUACGACUGGCAAUUUUGCAGGCAUUAAGGACGUGGAGUCAGGUAGAAGUCGAUUAAUUGCCUCCCGAGAACGACCGAGACCCCCACAGAGGCAGGUCACUUUUUAAUCAAAAAGUUGCUCAGUUUUAAAAACCCGAAAGGGCGGCUACAAACAACCUGCGAUGAGUCGCCGAAGAGUAAAACACCCACAAUGCUGAGAACAGGACGUGCUAGACCCGUCUUUAUAAGUAGUCUUUUCACUGUGCUGGAACCUUGUUCGGAACUGGGCAAGUCUCCAUAUCCUAUUUCCAUUUUUCUACAAGAAAAGUCUGGUUUGGAAUAGACCAUGGAAUGAAUUUUCUUGGCAACAAUCCUCACUACACCUGUCCGAUUAAUCUGGUUGAAUUUAGUGAGGUCUUUGCUGAAUGCAUGCUUUUAAUAUCACAGGAUUAAAUUCCAUUGAACUCGAAUAGAUCGGGGAACUUUUGACCGUCAUUGAUGUUACUUUUUCUCUUGAGCAAGCCUAUCCUUCCUAAAACAGCAGAAAGAAUUUCAGAGAAAAUAUAAAAAUUAUCCUACGGUACAUGAAAAAAAUAUGCAAUUUUGGAUUAUUAUAAUGUGUAGUUCCCAUUUCUGUAAAAUGGGGGUAAUACAACUUUACUUUAUUAUGUGAGUAAAUGAGCUCAGUCUACAAAGUGGAAAAUACUCCAGAUUUCCUAAUAUACAUGGAAUAAACUGAUAGGGUAUUUCAAGUUGAUUAAUUUCAAAAAGCUUACCGUGGAAAACAAAGUUAAGCAGCAGGUGCCUUGGGCCAAAAAAAAAAAACCUGAAUAAAGUUUUAUGUUCACAGAUGCACAAGCAAUAUAAUAUAAAAAGCAGCUGAGGAACUGACUUGUUUGAAGUAACAUGCUUAUCCAUUAGGGAACUAAAAGAUGAGGAUGUAUGUAAGCAAGAUGAUGUACAUGCCCACCCUCUAGGCAGGUUUGUAGAAUGACUUGUCUCCUUGAAUAGUAAAAGAGUAGAGAAAUCUAUAGUCACUUGUACACAACUUAAUUAUUUACAUUUGUUUAAAGAGGGUGGAUUGAAAGUCCAAAUGAUUAAAUUGCUUACUAGAGUAAUCAGUUGGACCAUCACUGCACAGAUGGUAUGUUUAAGUUAACUAUGAUCCUUUCUAAGAAGUAUGACUUGGAAUUCUGAGUUCCAGUCACUUCUGUCAUUAUUCUGAGCCUAUAUCUUUAAAUAUUCAGUAAUUAAAGUCUGUUGAUAUAAAGGCAGGUUAAACAAAUGCCAACUCAUUCAUUAAUUUGAUUAUUUGAUUGUUAUCAAAUUAAUAAAAUGGUUAUACAAAUAUAGAAAAGUUAAUGGAUUUUUCUAAGCAAAAACAAAAAACAAAACUGGCCAAAUGCCAGUAAUGCUUGUAUUUCCAAAGAGUUCCAUCUGUGCACCAAUUGUUCAUCAAUUAAUAAUGAAUUUAAUUCUAUUUUAUUGAAACUUGGAGAAAUGUAUAUGUUUUUUCCAGUGUUCUACAUUUUUUCCUGUAAAUUUAUGUUGCAAUUAUAAACUUUAAAAUUACGUGUUCCGGGUGUGGAGAUCUAUAAUGCAUUGAUAUUGGAAAGCUUAAAAAUAAUUUUUGAAAGGUAAAACUGUCAAAAGUUAACAUUUUUUACUUUUUAUCCUGAAAGCUUUUUACACACUCGGUGAAGUGCAAGGAAUUCAUUUAUGGAUGCACAGAAUUUAUUUCCAUUUUCUUGAUAAUUGUUCUUUUGUCUUCUGUUAAGGUUGUGCUUCUGAUAGUGACCCAUUUCUUUUCCAUAAAAUAAAUGCUAGGUCAUCAUCUUAAAAAGACUUUUCAUAGAUCCCCUCCUAUACUGGAGUGUAAAACUAGACAGAUUUCUUUUAAAAAAAAUUGGGCAAAGUAGCUACAAAGAUCUGAUACCAAGAUGAACAUCCAACAAUUGAAAGAAGAUGUGUUUGACAGGGUAGCAUAGAAACCACUUACCUAUAACAUCGCUAAGAGUCAUAAAUGGUUAAAAAAAAAAUAACAGUGGCAAAGGUACCUCACCAGUGAAUCUUCUACCUUCUUUCUCAUCCAAAUGUAUUUGAAGAUGUUAGGGUUUUAUUUAGUGGUAUCAAAACAGGUAAUAUUCAGUAUUGUUUUGACUGCAUUGUUGCUUGAUAUGAUUAAGUGUUUUCACUGUAUUUUUAAUCAUAUGUAAGAUACAUCAAACUCUCUCUGACUCAAAGCUGAAUAAAUUGGUUCCACUGCAACCCUCCACAUGAGUCAGGGCAGGGGAGAGUUUUGCCUGAGGGCUGUGCAUAAGAACUUGGCAUGUGCCUUUGAAGAGGCCACAACAAGGUAUUUACCAUGUAUUUUCACAUACGCAGCCAGAAUGAGAGUUCAAAUGAAUCACAUUCAUAUAAUAGCUAGAUACCUACGCUGUUAUCAGCAUACGCUACUACUAGUUCCAGCUAAAUGCUAGUGGUGUGCACCUUAUCUUUGUAUUUACCCUUGUUAUGACUAUAUUUUCUCUCAGAUUCCUGGAAAGUAAGGAAAAUCUAAGCUUAGAAAUGACAACUUUGCACAUGAUGGCAAUCAGAACAAGGAGGAAAAGGCAAGGCCUUACUACUUUAAAUGCAACAGAGAAAAGAUUCUUAUAUUCACUAUUGCUUGAUAGUCUGUAUUGAUUUGCUCAAAUCCCAUAAGAGUUCCUUGUGAUCUAAUUAAUUUCCUCUUUUCAAUUGUACAGGAAAAUUAAAUGUUUGCUGAAACUACUAAGUAGUUAAAAUUGUAUUUGAUCUGGGAUGAGAUUAGUCAGAAAUCCUUUACCAAUGAAUGUAUUCUAAUUAUAUUUUAAACCUUUAGUAACAGUUCUGCAAAUAAAGUCACUCUUAGAUACUGA
Molecule: long non-coding RNA, 3215 nt
Organism: Crotalus tigris (Tiger rattlesnake)
Lineage: Eukaryota; Metazoa; Chordata; Lepidosauria; Squamata; Viperidae
Exons: 2
Source: RefSeq, a predicted model, not a curated record